UGCUUAAGGUUGUAUCAAGGUUAGUC
This 26-nucleotide non-coding RNA is filed under the name Homo sapiens (human). Lineage: Eukaryota; Metazoa; Chordata; Mammalia; Primates; Hominidae. The record is from RNAcentral.